Molecule: ribosomal RNA, 506 nt
Filed under: uncultured bacterium
Lineage: Bacteria
Description: partial 16S ribosomal RNA
Rfam family: Bacterial small subunit ribosomal RNA
Source: RNAcentral
GAUGAACGCUAGCUACAGGCUUAACACAUGCAAGUCGAGGGGUAACGAGAGGAAAGCUUGCUUUCCUUGUCGACGACCGGCGCACGGGGGAGUAACGCGUAUCCAACCUGCCCCCAACUAAGGAAUAACCUUGCGAAAGUAAGACUAAUACCUUAUAAUUUCCUCAGAUGACAUCUGACGAGGAAUAAAGAUUUAUCGGUUGUGGAUGGGGAUGCGUCUGAUUAGCUUGUUGGCGGGGUAACGGCCCACCAAGGCAACGAUCAGUAGGGGUUCUGAGAGGAAGGUCCCCCACAUUGGAACUGAGACACGGUCCAAACUCCUACGGGAGGCAGCAGUGAGGAAUAUUGGUCAAUGGGCGGAAGCCUGAACCAGCCAAGUAGCGUGCAGGAUGACGGCCCUAUGGGUUGUAAACUGCUUUUAUACAGGAAUAAAGUUAGCCACGUGUGGUUAUUUGUAGGUACUGUAUGAAUAAGGACCGGCUAAUUCCGUGCCAGCCGCCGCGGUAA